This 75-nucleotide transfer RNA is filed under the name Saitoella complicata NRRL Y-17804. It matches the Rfam family "tRNA". Rfam says of the family: Transfer RNA (tRNA) molecules are approximately 80 nucleotides in length. Their secondary structure includes four short double-helical elements and three loops (D, anti-codon, and T loops). Lineage: Eukaryota; Fungi; Ascomycota; Saitoellomycetes; Saitoellales; Saitoellaceae. The record is from Rfam by way of RNAcentral.
GUCGCAGUAAUUCAAUCUGGUUUAGAAUGUUCCAUUCAUGCUGGAACAAUAGAGGUUCAAGUCCUCUCUUCGACA